Molecule: ribosomal RNA, 501 nt
Filed under: uncultured bacterium
Lineage: Bacteria
Description: partial 16S ribosomal RNA
Rfam family: Bacterial small subunit ribosomal RNA
Source: RNAcentral
AUUGAACGCUGGCGGCAUGCCUUACACAUGCAAGUCGAACGGCAGCACGGGUGCUUGCACCUGGUGGCGAGUGGCGAACGGGUGAGUAAUACAUCGGAACGUACCUUAUCGUGGGGGAUAACGCAGCGAAAGCUGUGCUAAUACCGCAUACGCCCUGAGGGGGAAAGCGGGGGAUCGCAAGACCUCGCGCGAUUAGAGCGGCCGAUGCCUGAUUAGCUUGUUGGUGGGGUAAAAGCCCACCAAGGCGAGGAUCAGUAGCUGGUCUGAGAGGACGAUCAGCCACACUGGGACUGAGACACGGCCCAGACUCCUACGGGAGGCAGCAGUGGGGAAUUUUGGACAAUGGGGGCAACCCUGAUCCAGCAAUGCCGCGUGAGUGAAGAGGGCCUUCGGGUUGUAAAGCUCUUUUGUCAGGGAAGAAACACCGGCUCUAACACAGUCCGGGAAUGACGGUACCUGAAGAAUAAGCACCGGCUAACUACGUGCCAGCCGCCGCAGUAA